Oryza glaberrima (African rice) is the source of this 208-nucleotide non-coding RNA. The record is from Rfam. NCBI's taxonomy places the organism in Eukaryota, Viridiplantae, Streptophyta, Magnoliopsida, Poales, Poaceae.
AAUAAGUACAGUUUUACAUUAUUCACGAUCAACGUUUGACCGUUUAUCUUAUUUGAAAACAUUUUAUUAUUAAUAUUUUUAUUGCUAUUAGAUGAUAAAACAUAAAUAGUACUUUAUGUGUGACUAAAUAUUUUUAAAUUUUUCGCAAAUUUUUAAAAUAAGACAGAUAGUCAAACGUUGGGUACGGAUAUCCACGGCUGUAAUUAUU